Molecule: small RNA, 107 nt
Filed under: Marmota monax (woodchuck)
Lineage: Eukaryota; Metazoa; Chordata; Mammalia; Rodentia; Sciuridae
Source: RNAcentral
GCCAGGUGUGGUGGCGCACACCUGUAAUUCCAGGGACUCAGGAGGCUGAGGUAGGAAUAUCAUAAGUUUGAGGAUAGCCUCAGCAAUUUAGUAAGACCCUCUCUCAA